ACGUUGCACGCACCCCUGCUCCUCCUCCUGCACCCCCCCUCUCUCCGCAGCGAAAAAAGAACGGAAGGCGAACAGGAGGCGACGAAGGAACGCACACACGCACAGACGCACAGAGGCGGGAGAAGACGGGGCGCAAGAAGCACGCACACGAGAAGGCACACAGCAGCGUCACGUGCGCUGCCGUUUCGGGUGUGCUCUUCGGUACUUCUGCUGCCCCUUUGCUCUGUUGGUCAUCUCCUCCCUUCUUACUCCUGGCUCUGCCUCUCCGGCCAAUCCUCUGCGCGUCUGCGAGAACUGCGAGGGUGUAUUCUCCUUCUGUCGUCGACGCCUCGCUUCCCUUUUCUGCUCCAGUGCGUUGAUCGACGCUCUCUGGCGCUGUGGAGGAUUCCGUGCCCUUGCUUUGCUCGGUCACACACUACUCUCUUUCUCUCCCCACGGACUCCUUCCGUGCCCUGUCGCUGCUUCCUGACGAGGGAGAGCGAGCGAGCGAGUGCGAGGACCCUGAGGGACACUCCUCCAGCGCGUCAAGUGGAAUCUUCCCCUACCGCUCGAAAAACAAAGGGGGAGGGAGUAAGGCUAACGAAGAGAAAGGCGUGCGUGUUGCCGCAAAACACAUAAAAAGCACUGCCCACCUGCGUGCGCAUCAGCUUCGUCACCACAGACACAAGCACAGGCAGGGGCACACGCGAGCAACUCCCUCCGCUCACCCACCCGCCUGUUCCCGUUGCCCAGGCUCCGUCUCCCCUCCGUCUCCGUCCUCUCCCCUCCGGCAAACCUCUUAUUGGCCUACCAGUGUGUGCGUGUGUGUGUGUCGACGCGCGCUUGAGUUUCAUUUGCCACCCCCUUUUUCAGCUCCCAUUUCUUCCCCUCCUCACCAUCCGAGGCCGUACGUGUAUCUGUGUGUGCGACGGAGGCCACGGCGACUGCGUUUCGACCACUUUUCUGCCACCGCAUCCAACGCACCUCAGCUGGAAGGAGUAAGGAAACAAAGGGCAGGAAGACCUGCAAAGGGUGGCAGCAGAAGAACCGCCGUAAGACACAGUCGUAUUUGUCUUCUUUCUCUAUUCACCCUCCUCCUCGCAAACUCGCUUCCCCUAUUUCGUGCUUGGUUUUUCCUUUUCCGUUCUGCCGUCUGUAGCGUCGCCCUCAACGUUCUCUUCCUCAUCCUGUCGACCUCCCUCAGCUUCCUUGUGCACUCUGUUUGCAUUGUCGCCCUCUUUUUGCGUUUGCUUAACGUCGCCGUCUCCACCUCCUCUCUUGCUCUCCCCCGUGUUCGGUGGUGUCGCGCACGAGGCACUCGCUUUUCUGGCUUUUCUGGCUUUUCUGGUUUCCUUUUCGCUCCCCACUUCCCUGUCCCAGUCGUCUUGUUUGUUUCUUCUCUGUUCUUUAUUAUCAUUUUUUCUUCUCUCGCGUGCUCGCAGCAUCGCGAGCGACGUCUGUAUCCACUCGUUGCCGUGUAGAAGGGCAGGCGGCAGUUGCAGCGACAGAAACACGCAAGGGCACCGAACAGAAGCGCCAAGGUUUUUGUGCUUCUCCCUUGAGGCUGCGUGUGUGUGUGUGUGUUUCCGUUGCCGUGUCUCCGAGUGCCCGAGUCGAGGCGUGAGCCCUGACCUGUCUCGAGAGCACUACAGUUGUGCGGCGCACCCAUACUCAGCCGUACGCGGUGCCCACCCGCCCACUCAUCCUUCACCCCACCACCGUAAAGCAGCAAGAGACAGCCUGAUAGCACACCCGAAGUGGAAAGACAUUUUUGAUCAACUUUAGCGGCGGCAGACAGCAACAACAAAGCAUCCCUCCAACCCACCCCUGAAACAACAACAGCAUACCUCCUUUUCUGCUGCUUUUACGUGUUUCCGUGCUUCACUUUCUCUCUCUCUGCCUGGACUACUCCUCUUACCUCCCUUUAGGCUCUCGCUGUUCUCCGCGUCUCUUCUCUGUGUGGGUGCGUAUCUGCGUAGUCGAGGAACGCUUUCGCAUAUUCUAUCUGCAUUGCAAGGGUCGACAACGGCAUCAUCUGAGAAGCGGCAGCAGGAAGCUCUACAAGGGACGGUAAAGGGCACGACAGGCAAGCUAGAGUCGUGCUGGGUUUGUUGUUGUGCUUCCGUGAGCUUAAGCCCGUUCGUGGUUGUUGUGUGUACUCUCCCCCUACUGCCUAGCUUGCUCUUUUCAUUCAACUCCUCUCGUUUCUCUCUCUCCCUGUUUGUGUGUUUGGGGACAUCCUGAGUGCUGGAUUAUCGCGCUCGCCUUUCCCAGCCGUGUUUCUCUUUGCGUUACGCGUUCGCGUCUGUCCUGAUUUUUUUCGUGUUUGGUUUUCAUUGUCGCGCGCCCUCGUCCUUUGUGUCUUUUUGUGUUGGCAUUUUUGGUCUCUCAUUGAACUCGUUUCUCGGUUUCUGCAUAACCACCAACCUGCCGCUCUCUAUCAAUAUAUGCAUGUAUCUCUGCACCUAAGUUGAAACCACACCGGGCAAGAGAACAGAAACGCGCAAACAACAAGGAAAACAAGCAAAAGAACGCAUAGAAAUCGAUAAGUAGUCAAUUCCCCAUAUCUCUCUGUUUCCGUUUCUUUAUCCAAGCACUUUUAUGCUUUUGUUCGGUCGUUCCUGUUGUUUCGCUCAACUCUUCGUCAGCAGUAUUGUCUGCCACCCCUGCUCUCCCCUCGUCCCCCCUUCCUCCUCGCCUCACUACUUCGUAUGCGGGUUCGUGGAUUCCUUUUUCUUUCCUUUUUCUUUCAUUUUUCGUGUUUUUCUUGUUUCGCUCGCUCACUGGUUUGUUUGCACGUGUCCCAUUGAGCGUCUCCUCGCGCACCCCUUCUCUCUGAUUCCAUUCGUUUAGGUAUUUUCCGGCAAAAGACACUGCCGCUGGCUGCGUGGCUCUCUGCCCCUUUCUGCGCAGACAACUCUCGCCUCCUCCUUCCCACAUCCCUGGCUCGUCGUGCGUGGUGUCUCGACUCCGUGCCCCCCCCUUUGCCUUUCACUUGCUUUCUCUCUCUUGUGCAUAUACAUACAUACAUAUGUAUAUAUAUAUAUUAUAUAUUCGAUUUCCAGGCAAACCGAGACCACGAACCGCGAGGAAAUCCAGCGAGCCGUCAGCAAUAGCACGCGCACGUAGGCACCAUCAAAGAUAGCUGUGCAAGUAUAACAUUUUAAGGUUGUUUCCACCACCUCUCUUUGUGCUGCUGUGCUGUUCUUGUUUCCGAUUUUUAUUUGUCCUCUGAAGUGGUACGAAACGUUUUCUGAGCUUUCUUUUGUCCGUUCAUUUGUGAUGUUUAUAUUCCUUCCGUAUUUUGCAAUCGAACGCGUGCCGACCACACCAAAAAAGCGUGUCUCUCCGCUGUCUGCCUCUUCCCUCUCGGCCCCCACUCUUUCUCGGCAGGUGAAGUGUUUCCUCUUUCUUUUUUCCUUUUGCGUGUGAUCGUGUGCGUGUGUGUGGCAGAGGAGGGUAAGCGUGCGUCCCUCUGGCUGUUCUCUUCACUUCCACCCACCCACCCACCGUCAGAUUCUCCAGUGCAACCACCGCGCAAGUGACGCGAUUUCACGUUAGUCUGGACUGGCUGGCGUCCUUUCUCCCUCGCGCUCUCUCUCGUUUCUUGUUUUUGUUUUCGCUUUGCGGUUCUUCCUGUCUUCAGUCUGUUUUUUGCAGCCAUCUAUCUUCCCCUGCGCGCCUCGGCGUCUGCGGGUGUGCUGUUCUCCUCCAGCGCAGCAUCACAGCCACGGCUCACGCCUUGGAUCAGCGUAAGAGCAAUAUCAGAAGGCUACACACAGGCAUAGACGAAGGAAGCGUACGCACUAACCCUGACAGCGCAGAAUCCACUUGCCGAUCGCAGCAGUAGACCCUUCUCUUCGCCUCACAGCAUUUUGUUUGCCCCCCUUGUACGAGUGCCUACGGUGAUUUGCACCGGCAUCUCGUUCUGUGCGCUUGUGCGUGCGCAUACGAACGCGAGCACGUCUGGGCUUCGCGUAGGGGCGAGACUUUUGAUUCGGCUCUAUUUGCAAAUCACCCAACCGUUUGGCCGCGCCAAUCUCCAAGAUGAUGCACAUCGCCCCUCUGACACUCACAGCGCAGCUGUGCUACCUCAUUGCUGGCACGGUGGUGUGCGUCUUCUUUACCGUCUUUGGUUACCUGGUGUGGCGUACGCAGGGCUAUUACGAGCUUACACCUGAAGGGCAGCGACGAAGCGCCGGCUUUACGCCGAACGGUAUCGCCGGUGUCACGGGCUUCUUCACGUUCGCCGGCCUCGCUGUGGCGCUUCUCAUCGAGACGACGCUCUUCUACGUGCGCUACGCCUUCCACCCAUCCCACAAGGGCCGCUACUGGGCGAUGCACCGGUAUGCCUCCGUGAUCCUUCAGGCAGCUCUGGGUAUCCUCUACGUGGCGACUGGUGUGACGCUCCUCGUCGAGUGGGGCGGCAAUCCUGCACAGUGCGCUUUCAUCUUCUGCUUGGGAGUCGACAAGUACCCGGAGGCGCCUCGAACGCGCGGUGAGGACUUCAAUGUUACUCUCUCCGUGAUCACCUUCUUCGUCCUGGUGCCUGCAGGGCUGGUGCUGCUGUACCGCGUCUUCACUACUGUCAUGCUGCAGAGGACCGCGAAGGUGGUGCGCGAGCGUGACGCGGCGAGCGUGGCAGCCGGCGCGCAAGCGUCCAGCAGCGCUUCCGGCCAGUCCACCGGCGAAGAGACGCCCUCGCCGGGAAGGGGUCGUGGUGCGAUUGCUGCGGUCGCGACGGAGGCGAACCCAAUGGCGAAGUCGGAGCGCAUGUGGCCAUUUCAGGCGAGAUCGAGGGUGAAGCAGGUGUGCCGCCUUGUCGGCGUGCUGAUUGGCAUCCUGGUGUGCGCCAUUCUCUCCUUCUGGCUGCCAAAUGACUCGCGCCGCUUGAGCCCCGACUGUAUCGCCUCCUUCGCUCGCAAUGGCAUCUCGCGGGAGAGACCACUACUAACAUGACUGUGCCGGAGAUGCCGGACGCGUGGCUCCGCACCGGCCAGAUCCGCUUCUCUGAUGACCUGACGCUGAAGCUGUUCCCGGGCAACGUCUUCUUCUACGCGUACCUGCUGACGACGGCGAUCGUUGUGUUGGUGCUGCGGCUGACGCAGCGCGGGCGGUACUGGGUGCAGCGCCGCAUUCCGCUGUGCGCGUGCUUCACAUAUGGCGAGGCCGCUUUUGUCGCCGCCACGGCGCUGCUGUCGGUCAUGUUCUUCAUCUACUGGCUGCACGACCACAACUACAAGCAGACCUGGACUGUGACAGCGAAUGAGAGUGCACAGAUUGAGGCGCCGGAGCGGUGGGCCCGCGGGCUGGGCCAGCUGGCCAUCCUGUUCCUUUCGCUGCUGUUGCUGCCGGUGAGCCGUCAGUCGGUGGUGGUCAGCGUGCUUGGUGUGUCGCGGGAUGGCAUGUUGUGGUUCCACCGCGCUGUCGGCUACGCCAUGCUGGCGGCCACGGUCGGCCACAUCGUGGCCUUCUAUGUGUCCUACGCCAGUUUUGGGUAUCUCAUGCAGAACCUGAACACCGUCACCAAUCGCGUGUGCAAGAAGGGUGUUUACGACGACUACACCGUUUUGGUCGUGACGUGGACAACGUGGUUCCUGCUGAUCUCCAUGGGCAUCUUCGCCUUCAAUCUGGUGCGCCGCCGCCACUACGAGCUGUUCUACUACACGCACCUCGCCGCGACCUACAUGACGCUACCCGCCAUGGUCUUCCACGCCUCUGCUGGCUGGAUGUACCUGCUCCCCGGCAUGACGGUGUUCCUGUCUGACCAGCUGGUGCGUCUGUGGCAGCGGUCCGCCGUGGUGCGCGUCGUGCGCGCGCGCGUGAUCGGCGACGACACGACGGAGCUGGCCUUCUCUGUGCCCGGGCGACGGGACAUGCGGCACGUGCACCCGGGGCAGUACGUGCUGGUGUGCGUGCCGGAGCUGACGGCGCUGCAGUGGCACCCCUUCACUCUGAUCAACGUCGUGGACGAGGAGUCGGCUGCCGUCGGAAGCUCGAAGGCGAGCACGACGGGGACCGUGUUCUACGUGCACGUCAAGUCGAUGGGGCCGAAGACGUGGACGGGGCGGCUGUACGACCUAGUGAGCCGCGGCGAAGAGAUCACGAUGGCUGUGGAGGGGCCUUGUGGGACGCCGGUGGACUACCGCCACUAUGACAAUAUUGUUCUGGUUGCCGGUGGCAUCGGCGCGACGCCGUGCGUAUCGAUCCUCGGGUCGCUGCUGCGCCAGUGCCACGCUCUCGGCCACAGUGGCGCUAGCCCACGUGUGGAUUUCAUUUGGUCUACUCGCUCUGCGCGUCACGUGAAGGCUGUAGCAGACAUGCUGCAGCUGCCGAUGCGGUGUGGCGACGUGGUUCGUCAGCCUGCAACCCGUUCGGCGUUGAAGAAGAUCGACACGUGUGCGGCCCCCGACGACAUCACCAAAGAUGCCAGACUGAAUACCGAGAUCAUCCAGCCCGCCGACUCCCUGGAGCAGGACGAGCCGCUAAAUGAUGAACUCAGUGCGGUGAACGAGGUCGUCCGCAUUGCUGACGACGCAGCGCAAAAAGUUUUCAUCGACGUCUACGUCACUCGUAAGACGGAGCUGCGGCAUUUUUCCAACGGAGAUGCGUGCCUGGGCGAGCAGUGCCCAUCAAAGGCCCUCCUCUCGGCAAGGAAAGGCUUUGUGGAGCUGGAUGGCAAACCGCUUAGUUGCGCGGGUGCCAUUGAGAAUGCCCAAAAUGCUGUGGACAGCGCCUCUCCUUGGAAGCAGAAGGCAGCGGCGGCGAUGACGCCCGGGCUGCAUGGCAAGGCUGACGAUGCGGGAGAAGCGGAGGAGAUGGUGUUCUCCAAUGCGUCUAUGGGCAGUGAAAGCGAAGGCUUUGAUUCGGCGAGCGCCGAUGGCUGUGAGGAUGGCAUCGAAGGCGCUUCCGAGUCGACUGCGCAUAAAAAGGAGCGGAAAACUGUUGUCGACACUGCAUCUGCUACGGAUCAGGAAGGUGCCUUGGUGUCAAAUGGUCUUUCCAAGUGGUCGUCGAGCUCUGUUAUGAAGUCGGGCGAGCGCCUGCAUGACAACAGCGACAGCAGCGGCAGCGGGUGUGUGGCGGUGAAGGUGCACCUGGGGCGCCCCGAUGUCGAUCGCCUCAUCCGCGAGGCACUCAAGCAGCCUGGAACUGGCGUCCAUAAAUCCUCGAGACUGGACACGGCCCGCACGUUGUUGUUUGUGUGCGGUCCGAACUCGCUCGUUCGCCAGGUCACGUCCUCAGGGGCGCAGCUCGGUGUGGCGGUGCACAAGGAAGAAUUCCUCUUCUAGGUUUCUCUCAUGUGCGUGCCUGCGUGCUCCCUCUGUCGCCCCGUCAAUCUCUAAUGCUGGUCUUCCGUCUCGCGAACGCUUCCUCGCUAACUUUUGUUGGCGACUUGCCGCUGCGCUAUCAAGAUAGGCAGAGGGAGAGAGUCAUGUACAGCACCUCCUCCCCCAACUCCUCCAUCUGUUCGUGAAAACACGCAAGUGCUUGGGCGGAUGCGUGCUCCUCAAGCUGCGUGGGGCUUUCGCCGCACACGGCGAUGCUCCAGAGGCACUUUGCGUGCACAUGUCUGUGUUUUAGAGUGAAGGUGGCAAUGCAUGUCUGCCCUCUCUCUCUGCCAGAGACGGGGAGAGAGAGGUGGCGUGGUGGUCUGCGAUGAUGACAAGAAUGAGUUAUGCUGGCGGCGCUGGGCGAUGGCUGUGAUGGUGGCUGCGAGACACGUUUUCGUCGCUGCAACUGCUGCUGGUGCUCCUAGGGUCAGACCCCCACCCACCUCUCACUUGUAUCGUUUCCCUCUACUGCAUGCGGUCUCCUUUUUUCUUUCUGAUACGUGGAGGUAGCACACAUCAGAUACACUAUGGAGGGAUGGGAGGGGCGCGCUCUUUCUUUUUGGAUGCGCUCGCCGCUCUGUCGCGCCCCUUGUUUCCCCUUUUGACCUUUUUUGCCUGCCCAACCUCCCGACUGCGUGCGGUGCAGACGCUGAUACAAUGAAGUGGGUCCGAAUGCCCGGCCAAGCAAUGCCGAGCUACUCAUUUCGCUUGUAUCGCUCGUUCCCGUCUCUGGCAUCGAUAGGGAGAAUAGUGGAGCAUGAGGGCGCUUCUUUUCCCCACCUCGUUUCUGUUUUUCUUUUCUGUGUUGAUGGCCUCGAACUGGAAAAGGAACACGGCAGCUGAACUGUUGAACAGGGCGAGCUAAGAUCAACUGCCUCACCCUCUGCCGAGUUGCUUCAUCAGUCUCACGCAGACACACCGGUCAUGUAUGCGUGCGGCAAGCGCACACUCACACCCAAACAGCGAUGCAAAAGAAAAGGCGCCCACGUGUGUGUGCGUGUGUCUGUGCGCUCGUCUCUUCUCUUUUAUGUGUAUAUAUGUGUUUCUUUACGCGAGAGGCAGUCGAAGGAGGCGAGACGCAGAGUGGGGGAGUGGGGGAGACAAGAGUGCGCGAGAAGUGGCGAUGAUCUGCGGAUACUCCCUUUCGUUUCGUUCCUCGUUUGUGUGCGGGUGGGUGGGCUGCGGUGCACGCCCGCUAUCCGCUGCUGGCUCUGUGCCCCCCCCCUCGCCUUCUGCCUCCUUGUGGUGCUGCGUUUCCUUUUAUUCCUUUUUUUGCCCCCCCCCCUUCCCCUCCCCGCUUUGGUGCUCCCACGCGUGCAUGUGCACAUAUGUGUGUGGCCUGUGGCUCUCGCCUCUUCCUUCCCUUUGAACUUCAG
Molecule: unclassified non-coding RNA, 8689 nt
Filed under: Leishmania donovani
Lineage: Eukaryota; Euglenozoa; Kinetoplastea; Trypanosomatida; Trypanosomatidae
Description: gene:LdHU3.30.2210(CDS-product:ferric_reductase_t ransmembrane_protein_putative)
Source: RNAcentral